Molecule: ribosomal RNA, 484 nt
Filed under: uncultured bacterium
Lineage: Bacteria
Description: partial 16S ribosomal RNA
Rfam family: Bacterial small subunit ribosomal RNA
Source: RNAcentral
AUUGAACGCUGGCGGCAGGCCUAACACAUGCAAGUCGAGCGGAUGAAGGGAGCUUGCUCCUGGAUUCAGCGGCGGACGGGUGAGUAAUGCCUAGGAAUCUGCCUGGUAGUGGGGGAUAACGUCCGGAAACGGGCGCUAAUACCGCAUACGUCCUUAGUGAGAAAGUGGGGGAUCUUCGGACCUCACGCUAUCAGAUGAUCCUAGGUCGUAUUAGAUAGUUGGUGGGGUAAAGGCCUACCAAGGCGACGAUCCGUAACUGGUCUGAGAGGAUGAUCAGUCAGACGGGAAGUGAGAAACGGUCCAGACUCCUGCGGGAAGCAGCAGUGGGGAAUAUUGGACGAUGGGCGAAAGCCUGAUCCAGCCAUGCCGCGUGUGUGAAGAAGGUCUUCGGAUUGUAAAGCACUUUAAGUUGGGAGGAAGGGCAGUAAGUUAAUACCUGGCUGUUUUGACGUUACCAGCAGAAUAAGCACCGGCUAACUUCGUG